UAAUAAGUGUUUUAUGGCACUUUUUAAAUCCAUAUCCACCUUGUGUGCAAUGUCAGUCGAUCUUCUUCAUGGAGAUCGACCAAACAUCAACCUUUAUCUUUUAACUCUUUGUCUGAAAAAUAUUUAUGAAUAAACAAUUCAAAAUA
This 146-nucleotide unclassified non-coding RNA is filed under the name soil metagenome. RNAcentral's name for it is "partial internal transcribed spacer 1". The record is from RNAcentral.